AUGAUGCAUUUGCAUAAUAGAUGGUACCCAUGUGACUGCUGGAGUGACAGAGAUCACAGGUUGCAUCAUACAGGGGUAGAAAGCACUCCACAAGCGAAUGUGCUUGUUGCUAUUGUCUUUGAUCUGAAGUUCACAUAUGUAUUAGUUAGCUGGGAAGGAUCAACCCAUGAUGCUAACAUUCUUGCCGACAGCAUGGCUCGACUUGAUGGCAUUAAUAUCCCCGAUGGAAAAUUCUACCUAGGAGAUGCUUGCUAUGCAUGUCGGCCUAGCGUUCUUCCACCCUUCAGCACAAUGAGCUUGGAAGAGCAAAAGGGUUGGAGUGGACUGAGGCAAUGGGCAAACAAAGGUGUCAGGGAGAGGCUAGGGUGGCGUGGCUCUUGGUGUAUUGUUGUGUUUUCCCUUUGGAUCCUCCUCCGAUGCACGUGGGGUGUUUGUGGGCUAGGUUAUAUCGUAUAG
Molecule: ribosomal RNA, 456 nt
Filed under: Triticum aestivum (bread wheat)
Lineage: Eukaryota; Viridiplantae; Streptophyta; Magnoliopsida; Poales; Poaceae
Description: partial small subunit ribosomal RNA
Source: RNAcentral